CAUGUGAGCACAGGGCUUCCUGCCAUCCCACAGCUGCUCCUCAUGAACUGUGUGCUUAAAACUCAGCACAGGCGAACCACAGCUCCUGAGAGAUGGCAGACAGCAAAAUUUCUCCUCACACCUCUCUGGUCUCUCUUUUCCUCUAUCCCUCCUUUUCAGUCCCUGAAGCCUCUCAGUAGCAUCCUGCUGCUCGCUUAUCAGAGGUCAAGAGUUCACGUGGACUUCCACUUGAGUCACCGAGGUUCUGAGGUACAACCCUUCGGAGAGGUCUAAGCAAGGUGACUCCAUCUUGGUUUUGCAUCAUCCAAAGAGAAGAAAAGGGACUCACAGCAUGGCAGCAGGACCUUAUCGUCUUGCCAGGCUGUAGAUGAGAUCAGCCCUGGGAUUUCUUUGGAGGGAAUGAUGCUGAAGCUGAAACUCCAGUACUUUGGCCACCUCAUGCGAAGAGUUGACUCAUUGGAAAAGACUCUGAUGCUGGGAGGGAUUGGGGGCAGGAGGAGAAGGGGAUGACAGAGGAUGAGAUGGUUGGAUGGCAUCACUGAUUCGAUGGACGUGAGUCUGAGUGAACUCCGGGAGUUGGUGAUGGACAGGGAGGCCUGGCGUGCUGCAAUUCAUGGGGUCACAAAGAGUCGGACACGACUGAGCGACUGAACUGAACUGAUUAGAGAUGUUGAGCAUCUUUUUAUGUGCCUGAUGGUCAUCUGCAUGUCUUCUUUGGAAAAAUGUCUGUUCAGGUGUUCUGCUCCUUUUUUAGUCAGGUUGUUUGGUCUGCUAUACAAAAUCUUUUAACUUUAAUUAGGUCCUACUUGCUUGUUUUGCUUCUGUUUCCUUGGCCUUAGCAGACAAAUCUGAAAAAAUGUUGCUAUAAUUUAUCCAAAUCAUUCUGCUUAUAUUUUCUCCUAGAAGUUGUAUGGUUUCUGGUAUUACAUUUAGGUCUUUAAUUCAUAUUGAGUUUAGCUUUGUAUAUGGUGUGAGAAAAUGUUCUAAUUUCACUCUUACAUGUAGCUGUCCAGUUUUCCCAGCACCACUUAUUGAAGAAACUGUCUUUUCUCCAUUGUAAACUCUUGCCUCCUUUGUCAUAGGUUAAUUGACCAUAAGUUCAUGGAUUUAUUUCAGGACUUUCUAUUCUGUUCCAUUGUUAUGCAUCUGUUUUGAGUACUGUAACUUUGUACUAUAAUUUGAAGUCAGGGAACAUGAUAUCUCCCUCCAGCUGUGUUCUUUUUUUCUCAGAAUUGCUUUGGCUAUUCAGAGUCUUUUGUGUUUCUGUACAAAUUAAAAACUUUUGUUCUUGUUUUGUGAAAAUGCCAAUGGUAUUUUGACAGGGAUUUCGUUGAAUCUGUAGAUUGCCUUGGGAACUAUGGUUAUUUUAACAAGAUUAAUUCUUCCAAUAUAAGAACACAGUACAUCUUUCCAUCUAUUUGUGUCAUCUUCAAUUUCUUUAAUUAGUGUAUUAUUGUUUUCCAAGGAGGUCUUUCACCUCCUCAGACUUAUUCCUAGAUAUUUUACUCUUUUUAAUGUGAUGGUAAAUGCCAUUGUUUCCUUAUUUUCUUCUUUCUGAUAGUUUGUUGUUAGUGUAUGGAAAUGUGACAAAUUUCUGUGCAUUAACUUUGUAUCCUGCAACUCUUAUCAAAUUCAUUGAACUCUAGUAUUUUUUUGGUGGCAUCUUUAGGAUUUUAUAUGUAUGCAAAAAAUGACAGUUUUCCUUCUUCCUUUUUAAUUUGGAUUCCUUUUAUUUGUUCUCUGCUGUGACUAGAAUUUCCAGGACUAUGUUGAAUAAAAGUGGCAAGAGUGGGCAUCCUUGUCUUGUUCCUGAUCUUAGAGGAAGUCCUUUCAGCUUUUCACCACUGAGUAUAAUGUUAGCUCUAGGAUUAACAUAUAUGGCUCCUUAUUAUGUUGAGGUAUGUUCCCCUGUACCCACUUGUUGAGUACAGUGGAUCCAACAUCCAAUAAAUGGAUGUUGAAUUUUGUCAAAAGUCUUUCUUUGUCUAUUGAGAUGACCAUAUGGUUUUUAUUCAAUUUGUCAAUGUGGUUUAUCACAUUGAUUGAUUUGUGAAUAUUAAAAAAUCUUCUCAUCCUUGGACUAAAUCCCACUUGAUUACAAUUAUGAUCCUUUUAAUGUAUUGUUGAAUUUGACUUGCUGAUAUUUCAGGAUUCUUAUGUCUAUGUUCGUCAGUGAUACUGGACUGUAAUGUGUGUGUGUGUGUGUGUGUGUGUGUGUGUGUGUGUGAGUGUGAGUGUGAGACCUUUGCCCCGUUUUGGUAUCAGGGUGAUUCUGGCUUCAUAGAGUGAGUAUGGAAAUG
Molecule: long non-coding RNA, 2300 nt
Organism: Bos taurus (domestic cattle)
Lineage: Eukaryota; Metazoa; Chordata; Mammalia; Artiodactyla; Bovidae
Source: Ensembl